GCUAGGAUGAACGCUAGCUACAGGCUUAACACAUGCAAGUCGAGGGGUAGCAGGGUCUAGCAAUAGAUCGCUGACGACCGGCGCACGGGUGAGUAACACGUAUCCAACCUUCCGUUUACUCGGGGAUAGCCUUUCGAAAGAAAGAUUAAUACCCGAUAGUAUGCUUUUCCCGCAUGGGAGAAUCAUUAAAGUUUUUCGGUAAUCGAUGGGGAUGCGUUCCAUUAGGCAGUUGGUGAGGUAACGGCUCACCAAACCUUCGAUGGAUAGGGGUUCUGAGAGGAAGGUCCCCCACAUUGGAACUGAGACACGGUCCAAACUCCUACGGGAGGCAGCAGUGAGGAAUAUUGGUCAAUGGACGAGAGUCUGAACCAGCCAAGUGGCGUGAAAAGGAUGACUGCCCUAUGGGUUGUAAACUUCUUUUAUAUGGGAAUAAAGGAGCCUACGUGUAGGUUUUUGUAUGUACCAUACGAAUAAGGAUCGGCUAACUCCGUGCCAGCAGCAGC
This 503-nucleotide ribosomal RNA is filed under the name uncultured bacterium. RNAcentral describes it as "bacterial SSU rRNA". It matches the Rfam family "Bacterial small subunit ribosomal RNA", at positions 26 to 518 of the family's 1533-position model. The record is from RNAcentral.